This 441-nucleotide ribosomal RNA is filed under the name uncultured bacterium. Its description in RNAcentral is "bacterial SSU rRNA". It matches the Rfam family "Bacterial small subunit ribosomal RNA", at positions 219 to 653 of the family's 1533-position model. The record is from RNAcentral.
GAUUAAAUGAGCCGAUGUCGGAUUANCUAGUUGGCGGGGUAAAGGCCCACCAAGGCGACGAUCCGUAGCUGGUCUGAGAGGANGAUCAGCCACACUNNNAACUGAGACACGGUCCAGACUCCUACGGGAGGCAGCAGUGGGGAAUAUUGGUACAAUGGGCGCAAGCCUGAUCCAGCCAUGCCGCGUGGGUGAAGAAGGCCUUCGGGUUGUAAAGCCCUUUUGUUGGGAAAGAAAAGCACGGGCUAAUACCCGUGUUCUGACGGUACCCAAAGAAUAAGCACCGGCUAACUUCGUGCCAGCAGCCGCGGUAAUACGAAGGGUGCAAGCGUUACUCGGAAUUACUGGGCGUAAAGCGUGCGUAGGUGGUGAUUUAAGUCCGUUGUGAAAGCCCUGGGCUCAACCUGGGAAUUGCAGUGGAUACUGGGUCACUAGAAUGUGGUA